AGCAGCCGCGGUAAUUCCAGCUCCAAUAGCGUAUAUUAAAGUUGUUGCAGUUAAAAAGCUCGUAGUUGAAUUUCGGGAUCGACGGGUCGGUCGCGCCUCCGGUGUGUACUGGCCCUGUCGGUUUCUCCCUUCUGAAGAACCGCGAUGUCAUUAAUUUGGUGUCGUGGGAAAUCAGGACUGUUACUUUGAAAAAAUUAGAGUGUUUAAAGCAGGCAUUCGCUUGAAUACAUUAGCAUGGAAUAAUGAAAUAGGACGUUUGAUCUUAUUUUGUUGGUUUCUAAGAUCGACGUAAUGAUUAAUAGGGAUAGUUGGGGGCAUUAGUAUUCAAUUGUCAGAGGUGAAAUUCUUGGAUUUAUUGAAGACUAACUACUGCGAAAGCAUUUGCCAAGGAUGUUUUCAUUAAUCAAGAACGAAGUUAGGGGAUCGAAGACGAUCAGAUACCGUCGUAGUCUUAACCAUAAACUAUGCCGACUAGGGAUCGGAUGAUGUUAAUUUUAUAAUGACUCAUUCGGCGCCUUAC
This 520-nucleotide ribosomal RNA is filed under the name uncultured Glomus. Its description in RNAcentral is "SSU rRNA". It matches the Rfam family "Eukaryotic small subunit ribosomal RNA", at positions 569 to 1091 of the family's 1831-position model. The record is from RNAcentral. Lineage: Eukaryota; Fungi; Glomeromycota; Glomeromycetes; Glomerales; Glomeraceae.